UAGAUUUGUAUCCCGAUAUAGGAAGGAU
Molecule: small RNA, 28 nt
Filed under: Bombyx mori (domestic silkworm)
Lineage: Eukaryota; Metazoa; Arthropoda; Insecta; Lepidoptera; Bombycidae
Description: ovarian small RNA-22190
Source: RNAcentral